Molecule: long non-coding RNA, 1506 nt
Filed under: Olea europaea subsp. europaea
Lineage: Eukaryota; Viridiplantae; Streptophyta; Magnoliopsida; Lamiales; Oleaceae
Source: RNAcentral
AGGCUUGUCUCAUAUCAAAAAAUUUGGAAUGACAAUCAAGCCGCCUAUAGAAAGAAUCCAUUGUGCUUUGGAAAAUGAUAAGUGUGCUGUACACUUUAUUUGACAGCUCUCUCACAAAAUGUGGGGGUCUGUAAUUAUUUAAAUAUCGAGCUUCACUCCUUCAUGUAAGAAGGCUAUAAACAAUAGUGUAAAAUAAGUUGUACUUGUAACACAAUUUUAGUACUUUUUGGCUUUGUGAUUAAAUUUCUCAGACCCCGCAAUAAAUUAUUUUACUUGAGACUUCAAUAUUUCAAAUGAAUUACAAUCCAUGUUUGAAAUCUCAAAAACCAUAAAAAAGGCAUGCCAAAAAACUAAGGGUGUGAUCUCUUCGUGUUUUAAUUUUGUAAUUUUGAAUUCAUUUUGAAUUUCGUGUUUUGAGUAUGUAUUUUGAAAUUGUUGAAAAUAUAUUUUCUUUCACAUUUUGAGAAACGUUUCUGAAAACAGAAAAUGGAAAACAUGUUCACUAUGAAAUUCUUUAAAAUUUUGGAAAAUGUGUUUAACACCAAGUCCACCACCGUCAACCAUCGCUGGCAGACACAACCACUACCAUUACCAUCGACCAAAAUCGAGACCACUGUCGCCACCACCAACCAUCAACACCAUUGCCACCACCCUGAACCACUCACCACUACCAAAAUCAACAACACCCACCACCACAAUCAGACCAUUACAUCAACACCACCGCUACCACUAUCAACACCCAUCGCCUUCUAGAUCCAAAAAACAAAAAAAUGUCCAAAAGAGAAAGAAGGCAAAUUCUGGACAAAUUUGCAGUGACCCAUCGCCAUCAGAUCCCUAUCGCGAUGAACUACAACUUCUCUCUCUUCGACAGCCGACAGAGAUGGGCCCAAACCACAGCAGCGUCGCCUUCCCUGGGUCACCACACUGCAUUCACAGCAACGUCGCGUCCCCAAGAUGGCGCCGGAGCAUCUCCUUCGGCGCCGAUUGAAAUGUGAGAUCAUCCACAGUCGGUGUCGAGGAGAGAGAGAAGGCAAAGAAUGGUUGGAAGAAAGUGACGAGAUUUGGUUUCGUCUUUCAAAAUGCAUUUUUCGUGUUUUGUAUUUUUCUCGAGUUUUGUACAGAAAACAGCCAAAAUGACAUUUUGGUCGUUUUGUGUUUUUUUCACAAUUUUUUUUUAUUUGUUUUUGAAAAUGCGUUUUCUAAAAUAGGAAAGAGAACGCGUUUUCACUGUUUUGAAAAAUCGAAAACAGAAAACGACCCGAAAACGGGAAAGAGAACGCACCCUAAGCUUUUGCGUCCCAAAGCCGCAGUAUAACUUUGCAAACUCUCAUCAUAUGCCCAGAUUUUAUUCUGGCGGGUAAAUUGCCAACUUAUAAUCAGUGAUGAUGAUCCUCAUCUUCACCAUGCCCAUCAGGGUGUCCACCCUAGCCAACGACUUCCAACUGCAAAACAAAUAAAACUUGAUCAGCAUUUUUGAGUGCUAGAACAGAGCCAUUGUGAAUGAAU